CCUACGGGAGGCAGCAGUAGGGAAUUUUCGGCAAUGGGGGGAACCCUGACCGAGCAACGCCGCGUGAACGAAGAAGUUAUUCGUAAUGUAAAGUUCUUUUAACCGGGAAGAAAGAGAAAUUUGACGGUACCUGAAGAAUAAGCUCCGGCUAACUACGUACCAGCAGCCGCGGUAAUACGUAGGGAGCGAGCGUUAUCCGGAAUUAUUGGGCGAAAAGGGUGCGUAGAUGGCAUAGUAAGUCUUUUGGAAAAAUGCUGGGCUAAACCCAGUAGGGCAAAAGAUACUGCAAAGCUAGAGUAUGACAGAGGCAAGUGGAACUACAUGUGUAGCGGUAAAAUGCGUAAAUAUAUGUAAGAACACCAGUGGCGAAGGCGGCUUGCUGGGUCGAUACUGACAUUGAGGCACGAAAGCGUGGGGAGCAAACAGGAUUAGAUACCCGAGUAGUC
RNAcentral lists this ribosomal RNA (446 nucleotides) under uncultured bacterium. Its description in RNAcentral is "partial 16S ribosomal RNA". It matches the Rfam family "Bacterial small subunit ribosomal RNA", at positions 338 to 795 of the family's 1533-position model. The record is from RNAcentral.